UAACCACUCCCCUAAAAUGUGACCUUGGACUUCGGGGCAAAAUAAUGUCGCCCAUCUGUCUUUGACCCACAUUCUCUGGCUCCUGUCUGCAGGGUUGUACAGGCUGGCGGAUCACUCACCCUCUGACAAGCUCACGUGAACGCACGUAUGGUCGGGUGCAUGUACAGCACACCCAGAGGCAAAUCAAGAAGUAAUUAUAGAACAAGCUUUCUGGCGCCUCAAACACAGUCACACCUCCUCCAAGAGCUGGGAAAAUGGAAAGAAACAGUUACCCCAGCUGUGUCUGGAUACCGACUACAUUGGGAGGCAGAAACCCGACAGUUUGAACUUCGUCUGUGGUCAUAAGGAUGGCAAGGCAAGAGAUGGAAUCAUUUCUUUUGGACACGCUGUUGAACUGCAUUAUCAACCAGACCGACUGAGAGCGUAAGGCCGGAUGCAGCAGGCUCCUUGGAGUUACAGCACAUGCCAGGCCCGGGAGCACAGUGGGAACGAUAUCCAGACUGUUGUAUGUGCAGCAGCAGAACCAGGGAGCUUCUCCACAAAUUGACUGAGCGGGACACAGCAGUCUGGAGAUGGAGCUGGCUGCCGGAAGCUGCCUGGCUCACUUCUGGAGUUAACUGGAGCCCUGAUCAGUACAGGAGAUGCAGGGGUCUGCUACAACUUCUUCAUGCAAAGCCUCACAAAGUGUCCUCCCACCUAACUGGGAUGAGAGAAGGAAAAGGGCAGCAGAGGUGACGAUUAUGAGCUGGCAAUUUUUCAAGAAUCCAUUGGCCAACUCCUUGAGUCUACGAUGAUGCUUCUUACAAGGUAUCAGCUGGUGGUUUGCAGCAGGGGUGGCUGAGCUCAUGCCCUGACACCCAGCAACACUGGUCCAAGAGAAGCCGCAAGGCCGCUGCCUUGGGUCUAACACCUUGGUUGGGGUUAGUUGCCUGAACCCACACUCCUGCUUGCAUAACUCUGGGAAUAACUGUCCUAAUGCAUGUGUUCUAUCGCCCUGCCUCACUGCUCUUCGCUGAAGCUUCUUGUUUACUAUGGAAUCGCUAGGAAUCUAAACACAUCAAGGGACAGUUCUCCCUGCCCCUCAAGGCGUGAGCUGAACUAAGUGGAACCAUACCUUUGCUGUCGUCCCAGACCAACAGGUGGAACCAAUUUAAAACCUCAUGAUCGUGCGAUGCUUUUGCAGAAACUCCCCUGUGUGUUUUAAUAUUCCUCCCAAGAAGGACAUAAUGUUCUUGCCUGUGUUUUGUCUACCAAAGACAGACGUCGCAUUCCGGGGGCGAUGGGUCUAAGCACUUGGCCACUGCUUCCACCAAUCAUGGCACGGCCAUAUGGUGCACCCCUGUGCAGCCCCUGAGAGUCAGGCUUUGCAAGCAAAUUUAAUGACAUGGAACAAUGUGUAUGGUCUGCUGUUAGGUGAAAAGAGCUGCUUACAAAACAAAGUACAGUACGAAAACAAUCAUAAAAAUUAUGCAUGUAUGCAUAGAAAACCAGGGAGCCUAUACUCCAGAAUGUAAACAUUGGUGACAUACUCCGGGCUAUCAACGUGCAAUGGCCCAGCUUGUGUGAGGCACAAGGACAUCUGUUGGCGAGAACAAGCAGUGGCUGACCUCUUGGCUGCCUUUUUCUGAUCAUACGUGGCACCAUGUAGACUGAUAUCAGUCCCGGAGAUUACGGGUUCCAGAAGAUUUGGAAGCAAACGGCAGCCUCACAUAAAUGUCCAGGAGAGAACAGAGGCCAGGCCCACACCUGCCCUCGUCCCCAUCCUCACCUGGAGAGCCAGGGCCCCUGCUGUGAACCAGGUCGUUCUUUUUUCUGCUCACAUUUCCUUAUUACAGGGGUAAGAAAAAUGAAAAGCCUGGGAUUCCAGCUUAUUGCAAGAAAUAUCCAGAAAGGGCACAGCAGGAAUGCCGGCAGCAGCCUGGGUGCCCAGCCUUGCUCCUGAAAGGGCGCGGCCUCAGCCACUUUGUAGCUGGUUCCGGGCGGCUCCGCCUGCGGGGUCGAGAACCCUUCCCGGACCGACCUGGGGCCUGGGGAGUUUGUCUCCAGCGUCUGCGGGGCUGCAGCGCUCAGAGUGCUAAGCGCAGGAAAUGCUGAAGAAGGCACUGCAUAAAUCUAUUGCUGAAAAAUAUUGCCAGUCCACAGGAAUGGCUGAUAAUAAGGAAAUAACAGCAAAGCCUCCUCACGUGCUCCGGUGACCACGAGACCAAGCCAGAUCCUGUGGUCGCAGGGGCUUCAGCCUGCAGCAGGCACAGCAAGCCUACAAAUGAAUUCCACCUGACCGCAAAGGAUAGCUGGAGCCAACAUUCACCUCUAGCUGGAACCUUUGUCCACAGACACAGUCCUGGUGGACAGUAUUCAGAGGCGAGGGCUUCUGCCAGGCACCUUGACCCACGCUAAUCAGAAGUUAACGAAACAACAUUUUGCAGGACUCUCUAUCUCUCUCUCCUUAAAAGCUCUUUUCCCACCCAAAUGGGGGAGACUGAUCUGAGUCUUGUCUCCAGUCUCUUUUUCCGACUGCCUGACAAAUAAAACCUUUUUCUCGGGGAAAACCUGUUGCCUCAGACU
Long non-coding RNA from Rhinolophus ferrumequinum (greater horseshoe bat), 2565 nucleotides. RefSeq lists it as uncharacterized. The record is from RefSeq and is a predicted model, not a curated record. Lineage: Eukaryota; Metazoa; Chordata; Mammalia; Chiroptera; Rhinolophidae. The transcript is spliced from 9 exons.